CUACCAGACUCCUACGGGAGGCAGCAGUGAGGAAUAUUGGUCAAUGGGCGAGAGCCUGAACCAGCCAAGUCGCGUGAGGGAAGACGGCCCUACGGGUUGUAAACCUCUUUUGUCAGGGAGCAAGAACGGAUACGUGUAUCCGAGCGAGAGUACCUGAAGAAAAAGCAUCGGCUAACUCCGUGCCAGCAGCCGCGGUAAUACGUAGGUGGCAAGCGUUAUCCGGAUUUACUGGGUGUAAAGGGCGUGUAGGCGGGACUGCAAGUCAGAUGUGAAAAUUAUGGGCUCAACCCAUAACCUGCAUUUGAAACUGUAGUUCUUGAGUGAUGGAGAGGCAGGCGGAAUUCCGUGUGUAGCGGUGAAAUGCGUAGAUAUACGGAGGAACACCAGUGGCGAAGGCGGCCUGCUGGACAUUAACUGACGCUGAGGCGCGAAAGCGUGGGGAGCAAACAGGAUUAGAUACCCUCGUA
This 467-nucleotide ribosomal RNA is filed under the name uncultured bacterium. Its description in RNAcentral is "bacterial SSU rRNA". It matches the Rfam family "Bacterial small subunit ribosomal RNA", at positions 328 to 792 of the family's 1533-position model. The record is from RNAcentral.